GCCAGUGUGGCAUAGUGGUUUGAUUGUUGGACUACAACUCUGGAGGCCAGGAUUUGAUUCCUGCCUUGGCC
This is a non-coding RNA of Phrynosoma platyrhinos (Desert horned lizard), 71 nucleotides long. Lineage: Eukaryota; Metazoa; Chordata; Lepidosauria; Squamata; Phrynosomatidae. The record is from the annotation of a GenBank genome assembly.